UCUUGCGAAACUUUCAUACCUCUCAGAGUGACUUCUGCUCCAACGCAAGUGCUCCUGCUCCAUCUCUGUCUCCUUCUCACACUCUCCAAACCUGUCACACUCCCUAUCCCUCUCCUUAUCCCUUUCCCUAUCAUGAUCCCUCUCCUUCCCAUUCCUCUCAUCCUGCUCCCUAUCUCGAUGAUCUCUCCUACUCCUAUGCC
This 200-nucleotide long non-coding RNA is filed under the name Elaeis guineensis (African oil palm). Its description in RNAcentral is "long non-coding RNA (EGUI_LNC051241)". Lineage: Eukaryota; Viridiplantae; Streptophyta; Magnoliopsida; Arecales; Arecaceae. The record is from RNAcentral.